RNAcentral lists this ribosomal RNA (443 nucleotides) under uncultured bacterium. RNAcentral describes it as "partial 16S ribosomal RNA". It matches the Rfam family "Bacterial small subunit ribosomal RNA", at positions 338 to 795 of the family's 1533-position model. The record is from RNAcentral.
CCUACGGGGGGCUGCAGUGGGGAAUAUUGGGCAAUGGGCGCAAGCCUGACCCAGUAACGCCGCGUGAAGGAAGAAGGCUUUCGGGUUGUAAACUUCUUUUCUGAGGGACGAAGGAAGUGACGGUACCGCAGGAAUAAGCCACGGCUAACUACGUGCCAGCAGCCGCGGUAAUACGGAGGUGGCAAGCGUUAUCCGGAUGUUUUGGGUGUAAAGGGCGUGUAGGCGGGAAAGCAAGUCAGAUGUGAAAACUCAGGGCUCAACCCUGAGCCUGCAUUUGAAACUGUUUUUCUUGAGUGCGGGAGAGGCAAUCGGAAUUCCGGGUGUAGCGGUGAAAUGCGUAGAUAUACGGAGGAACACCAGUGGCGAAGGCGGAUUGCUGGACAGUAACUGACGCUGAGGCGCGAAAGCGUGGGGAGCAAACAGGAUUAGAUACCCUUGUAGUC